UUUUUGGUAUUUCUUAUUGUAUUGAUUUUUUGUAACACAAAUUUUGCUACUCAUUUUAUACAAUAGCAUUGAUGAUGGCUACCGAGGGAGUGCAACUGGUAUUCCAAUAUCGGGGAUCAUUUGAGACGAAUGCAAAUGACGGACGUGUUAUUUAUAAAGGGGAAAAAUUGAAGGUCACCAAAUAUAAUGGAAAUAGUUCCUUUUAGGAACUAAAAAGUCAUUUUGGUAAUUUAACCAAGUGUGAUCCAAACAAAUUUGCUAUUAAGUACCACAACACAAAUCUAUCUAGUGGGUUUGAUUUGAUUGAUAUAAAUGAUGAUAUAUAUGUAUCUUUUAUGUUGGGAGGGGAAUCUUCGAGAAUUGUAGUAUAUAUUGCUGCUAAAAUGGAGCCACAACAGGAAUCUGUUGCUGAUGGCCCAUCUUCAAGGAGUAGUCGGCGUAACGCUUACCUGAUCAAGAUCAAAACAUUCAAGUGGCGCCCAACCUUGAGGUUGUACUAGGGCGUGAUAUAGAGGAUAUUGAACCACUAGAGAGUCAAUGUAGAGGAGUUGGUAGCGAGGUUCAAUUAAUUGUUGGGCAAUUUUUUGAAAAUGUUAAUGAAUUCCGACAUCAUCUAGUUAGUUUUACAAACCACAGUAAUUCUAUUCUAAAGUUUGACAAAAGUGAAUUGGGAUGGGUGUGAGAAAAUUGCAAGGAAGAGGGAUGUACAUGGCAAGUGCGGUGCAUACGAGUUGGUAGUGUCGCGUACUUUAAAGUGAAGUCUAUGGUUAAGGAGCACACAUGUAGUGGCCCAAUGGGAAGGGUCCAUCAGCCACUAGCUUGUAGUGAUUGGGUGGCAAAAAAGAUUAAAGGCCGCCUUAUUGACUAACCAAAAAUUAAAGCAAAAGGCAUCGUAAAGGAUGUCCAACGUGAUCACGAGGUUAGACUUUCCUACAUGCAAGCUUAGCAGGAAAAAAAAGUUGCUAGAAAGAUGAUAGAUGGUAUUGUUUCUUAAGUAUGUUGAGUGAGAUAUUGAAUGAGUAUCCUAAUUUGCCUGCCUUAACAAUUAUAUCAGAUCGCCCAAAAAUCCUGUUAGAAGCAAUAGAGAAAUGCUUUCCCACAUGUUUUCCAUCAUUCUGCAUGCGACAUAUGGGAGAGAACUUCAAGGGCUUUAUGAAGAGGUCAGCAAAUACUGAAGUAUUGCUGAUGCUGUUUUGGAAGGCUGCCUGUAAAGUGACCAUUGGUGGGUUUGAAAAAGUAAUGUUUGAUAUACAGUGUGCUGACCCAGAAGCAUAUGAGUGGAUUAAGAAUAUUCCCCCCAAAUUUUGGGCAAAUACCUAUUUUCCAAGGUCUAGAUACAAUCAUUUUACCUCUAACAUGGCCGAGUCUUUCAACGUUUGGAUUUUAUCUGCUCAAGAGAAGCCGAUCAUUACAAUUUGUGAAGAAAUAAUGGUACAGUUGAUGACCAGAUUUGAAGAGAAGAUGGUGGUAUGUAAUACUUGGAAUGACAUGCUAGUACCGAAGGUCUAAGAAUUACUCGACUUGCGAAAGAUGAAGGCUUGAUUUUUACACAUAGUUAUAUCUGCCAUGGACACGUAGUUUGAGAUCCGUUAUCUUGGGAAGUACGCUAUCAUUUUAAUGCAUUGGACGUGCAGUUGUAGAAAAUGGAAACUCAGUGGCAUUCCAUGUGUUCAUGCCAUUGCGGCUAUUAACCAUAUGCAUUUGGAUCCCACAACAUACUGCCUUUAAGUAUUUCACAGUGGAAUACUUUAAAAUGGCCUUUCAAACUCCCUUUGGGCCUGUCCCAGAUGAUAUUUAGUUGACAGGUAUGUUCGACAGGACAGUGUUGCCACCAAGGACUACAUGCCUUCCCGGAAGGCCAAAGAAGCAAUGAAGAAUAUCCGGGACAGAACAGCCGAUCACCAAGCCUUUGAAGUGCAAACGAUACGGCGCAGUUGGUCAUAAUAGGAGGACAUGCAGAGAACCGAUAGAGUGAAUUACUUAUUGUCAAUAUUGCGUUUUCAUAUCGGAUUAUGAAUUUCAUGAAUUAAUGAAUGGAGUGAAUUCGAUGUU
Molecule: RNA transcript, 2052 nt
Organism: Amborella trichopoda
Lineage: Eukaryota; Viridiplantae; Streptophyta; Magnoliopsida; Amborellales; Amborellaceae
Source: RefSeq, a predicted model, not a curated record